RNAcentral lists this long non-coding RNA (257 nucleotides) under Elaeis guineensis (African oil palm). Its description in RNAcentral is "long non-coding RNA (EGUI_LNC007614)". The record is from RNAcentral. Lineage: Eukaryota; Viridiplantae; Streptophyta; Magnoliopsida; Arecales; Arecaceae.
UAAAAGAAAAGAAACUUACCCCGAGUAUCAUCAGGUAAAAGGAUGAGAACAUCUCGACCAUCGUUCGGUUCCUUCGAUUCUUCCGAUCAAUCGAAAGAAGGGCGGCUUGGAAUAGUCGCUUGGCCAAUAUCAGAUUGGCCAAGGCCGACUCAUCUCCAGGUACUUGAAUGUCGAUGUGAACUGUGUGGCCCUCCGAUGCUACGUCUUCCACUAAAGUCACCGAAACUUUUCCUCGAUCUCUUGUCGGCAACCCCACA